RNAcentral lists this ribosomal RNA (468 nucleotides) under uncultured bacterium. RNAcentral describes it as "partial 16S ribosomal RNA". It matches the Rfam family "Bacterial small subunit ribosomal RNA", at positions 28 to 507 of the family's 1533-position model. The record is from RNAcentral.
GACGAACGCUGGCGGCGUGCUUAACACAUGCAAGUCGAACGGAAAGGCCCUGCUUUUGUGGGGUGCUCGAGUGGCGCACGGGUGAGUAACACGUGAGUAUCCUGUCCUUGUCUUUGGGAUAACUUCAGGAAACUGGGGCUCAUACCGGAUAUGAGCUCCUGCUGCAUGGUGGGGGUUGGAAAGUUUCGGCGGUUGGGGAUGGACUCGCGGCUUAUCAGCUUGUUGGUGUGGUAGUGGCUUACCAAGGCUUUGACGGGUAGCCGGCCUGAGAGGGUGACCGGCCACAUUGGGACUGAGAGACGGCCCAGACUCCUACGGGAGGCAGCAGUGGGGAAUAUUGCACAAUGGGCGGAAGCCUGAUGCAGCAACGCCGCGUGCGGGAUGACGGCCUUCGGGUUGUAAACCGCUUUCGCCUGUGACGAAGCGUGAGUGACGGUAAUGGGUAAAGAAGCACCGGCUAACUACGUG